Molecule: ribosomal RNA, 444 nt
Filed under: uncultured bacterium
Lineage: Bacteria
Description: bacterial SSU rRNA
Rfam family: Bacterial small subunit ribosomal RNA
Source: RNAcentral
AUUGAACGCUGGCGGCAUGCUUUACACAUGCAAGUCGAACGGCAGCGCGGGGGCAACCCUGGCGGCGAGUGGCGAACGGGUGAGUAAUGCAUCGGAACGUAUCCUGUAAUGGGGGAUAACGUAGCGAAAGUUACGCUAAUACCGCAUACGCUCGAGAGAGGAAAGUGGGGGAUCGCAAGACCUCACGUUAUAGGAGCGGCCGAUGUCCGGUUAGCUAGUUGGUGGGGUAAAGGCCUACCAAGGCGACGAUCGGUAGCUGGUCUGAGAGGAUGAUCAGCCACACUGGGACUGAGACACGGCCCAGACUCCUACGGGAGGCAGCAGUGGGGAAUCUUGCGCAAUGGGCGAAAGCCUGACGCAGCGACGCCGCGUGGGUGAUGAAGGCCUCGGUUGUAAGACCUGUGGGAGGGACGGAAGUAAGUACAUGGCUAAUAUCCAUGGUGA